AUGUGCAAUCGGUGUUGGUGUGUGGGGAGGUGUUGGAGGUGCUGCAGCUGUGAUUCUUGUGAUUCUGUUUAUCAUACUGGUGAUAGUAGUACUACGACGACUACGAAAGCGUUCGGACGCCAUGAGUGUGAGAUUUGAAAACAACCUUGACGGACAGGUGUCGAUACAUUCAACAAACUCAUCUGUUUCCACAGUGCCUCCAAGUUCAGACUAUGAAUCGAUCGAUGACUGCAAGAAAGCUGUGGACAACAGCUACCGUUCAAGAGUUUCAUCAACUAACAAUAGCUACUGUAAGCCAAGGUCACUGAUGAGGAACGG
Long non-coding RNA from Corticium candelabrum, 318 nucleotides. RefSeq lists it as uncharacterized. The transcript has 4 exons. The record is from RefSeq and is a predicted model, not a curated record. NCBI's taxonomy places the organism in Eukaryota, Metazoa, Porifera, Homoscleromorpha, Homosclerophorida, Plakinidae.